This 205-nucleotide unclassified non-coding RNA is filed under the name Hevea brasiliensis (rubber tree). The record is from RNAcentral. Lineage: Eukaryota; Viridiplantae; Streptophyta; Magnoliopsida; Malpighiales; Euphorbiaceae.
GAAGGCCAUGACAGAAAUUUUGGAUUUCCUUCAACAACACAAUGCACAAGAGAUUCUGAAUUUCUUUCUUUCAAAUUCUGUUAAUGAACAUCUUUAAUCCUAGAAUCAAUGUCAAUUGCUUCUUGUAUUUGAGAAAACAUUCCCCAAUCAUCCUCAAGAAAUUCCUAUGUAUCUUCCUCUGUCUUUUGCUGAAAUUUUCCUUGGU